UAUCGAGCUAGAGGUCGAGGCUGGCCGCGAUGCAGAUGACGCCGGGCACGGCGGUGGCGUCCUCCGGCCAGAUCAAGUCGAGGAGGCGCGGCAGGGGCCGGAUCCGGUGGCGGGGACGGCGUGGAGGCGAUAUAGGAGACGCGGGAGGAGGUCCAGCGGCGGGGCUUGAACUCCAAGUUCAUGGCAGCGGUGUUCCUCGCCGGUUCCAAGCGAGAUGCCGAGUUCUGGUUGGGUCUCUCCAUGGCGACGGUGGCGGGGCGCGACGAGAGGCCGGGAGGUCCUGGCGGUGCCCGGCCCCUGCGCGGGGGGUGGGGGAUGAGGUGCACGGCGGCAGGCGGCAUCAACUCUCCUGCGUGCGGCCAGAAAGAGAGAGAGAGAGAGAUGAGAGAGAGAGAGAGCCAGGAGGAAGAAGGGAAGGAAGGAGGCUUGAGGAAGGGGCGGCCGGAUCCUGCGAGGCUGGGUUGGAGCCCCGGUGGUCGUGCUGCUGCUGUUGGACGGCGGCCGAUGGCCGAUGGGACAAGUCGCUAGGUAAGAGGAAAAACAUGUGCUGCAUUGGCACAUUUGAUGCAGAGUGGACACUGUAAGUUUCUCCUCCUUAUCUACUUUGUAUUCAGAUUCCUCUCCCUUCUCUAAUUAUUAUUGAGAUAUUCCAUUGCUAUUUGAUGGAGAGCAGUCACCAAAAGUUCCUCUUUUGAUGCACAGCGGCCACCGAAAACAGUUAUCUUUCUCUCUCUAAUUGAUUCUCAGCUACAGAAUGAUGUGUGUGUGUUUGUGUGUUACUUGCUAAUGUGAUGGCUAAUGCAUGUGGAUUGAUUCAUGAAUUAGCAAAAUAUUUCCCGUGAGAUGUGAUAAUAUAGAAAUUUGAUGUUUACAGUGCCCUCUACUUGUUUGUUGUUAUGCCUAUAAGAGAUUAUCUUUUUUCAUUUUUUUAAAUAGAAAAGCACAAUACGGUUGAUCUAGGCCGGUCCGUGGACGGCAAGAAUGCCCAGAUGACCACCAUGCCCAGCCACGACAGGGCGAUGUACUUAUCUGGUGAUGCCUGUGUGUGGGUCUGGACUUGCUUCGGUCCGGAUACACCAUACUGUGUUGGAUGACAUGGAUGGGUGGUGCCCGAGUUGAAGAUGGAUUGUUGUUUCUACACUAGACGACGUGGACGGUUGGGAUUGAUCACAUUUGUGGUGAAUAGGUGGAUAAUUGGCCGUCAUCAGCGAUUAUAUGAGGAAAACCAGAAGUGGCAACACAAAUAGAGUGCCUAAUGCGUGUAAGGAACUUUUUACCCGUUGCAACGCGCGGGCAUUGACUUAUAUUUAGGAAUGGAGGGAGUAUAUGCCAUGUCUGUCCUUAUCACACUUUGUAUGAUAACACAAGCAGCCCUUCUGAACGAAUUUGGUUUGAAAGUAAAAUAUUGUGCUCCUGUGAUAUAGCCUUUAUUCUCCUCUGUUAUGAUUUUUUUCAGGUAGAAUAUUGAUCCCUUGGCAUCUCCUACUCUUGAAAUUAGGUGCAGCAGCAAUAUUUGUGGUGAGUACAACAUGAACUACACUUUCAUAUGGUUCAUCGCCUUCUUCGAGAGCAUAUUGAUCAAGAAGUGGACUAUAAGGUGAUUGUUUUCUGCACAGCAGCCAUGGUGACUGAAUUUAUGUAUAUAAUGCUUCGAGAUCUGAAACUAAACGUCAUAGAGAUAAAUUUAGGAAAGCCUCAGCUUUAUAGGACACGUGUAUCUGAAGAGUUACGGGAUUCCAAUCGCCUGAUUCUGGUAACAUCAGAUGUUUCAACACGUGGAGUGAAUUAUCCAGAUGUUACCCCGCCCAUUGGGAAGAUCCUAUGUCACAGCCAUCGGCCUUGUGUCUGGAGCCCCUUGCAGGUGUACUACCGGCACAAAGUGUCCAGCGCGGGCAGCACAAGGAAUUUGGUUUGGGCCCUCGUCUGUAGGUCAUGACGGCUGAUGUUGUCCUCUUCUGCUAUGAUUUUGAUGUUAAAUCCUUUCCUCCAAGGUAAUCAGACAAAUCACCUUCAUAUAUACAACUUUGUUUCUCCCCAUGUUUCACUCACCCCCUACAAUAUUUCGUGGAAUUUGUGAGCUUUCUUCUGCAUCCACUUGCAGGUCAAACGUUGUGUGAUACACCAACGGAUGUAUUUAUGCAGGAAAUUGAUGUUCUGGUAUUGUAGCUUAUUUUCACAAUUUUGAAAUGGCAUGAUUUUGUUGAUAUAGGUAAUUGGUGUAGAAAAUAUAAUGAUUGUAUGCUCAGUUUUAGUAUCAUGAUGCUAUCAUACCCAUAGUUGUGUUCUGCAUCUUUUUUAGUUAUGUUCUUUCAGCUAGGCUUCUGGUGGAAGUAUAGAGGUCAUUUGGUUUAGAAAAUUAUAGCAUGAUAUAGUAAUGUUUUUGUCUUGUGAGAGAUUUUUACAUUGUUCUGGAUUUGGAAAGCUGGUUGAAAUAAUGGAGAUGACAUUCUGCGUACAUAUUAAAGAUGCUAAUGAAUGUUCUUUCUUUUCUCAAUGCAGGAGACCUGAGUUGGAUUGGGCUCAUGCCACAUUGAUUGAGAAGAUUGUAUACCUCACAUAUUGCACGAAACCUACUGAUGCCACCUGCUGUUGCCACAUCAAUUUCAUAUAGACUGACAAGCUUAUCCUGAAUAACAGGUAGAUGGUGAAAAGCAAUGACAGAAAACAGCACCUUUCUGUUUCUCAAGCUCACAGAAGACUUAUUUUAACUACUGGCUUGAUUCGGUGUCUCCUUCCUGUUCUGCCAACAAGACAUCUUGCACUAAAAUUAACUGAUUUUGUGAAAUCAUUGUGUACAGCAUUUGUAAACUGGUGCGUAGUGGUAUGUUUGACCCAGCUCAUAUCUUUUGUCAGUGACACUAAUGACUUCUUGCAAAGUGAAGACAUGUAACCAUUUUUUGGUUUUAA
Molecule: long non-coding RNA, 2907 nt
Organism: Triticum dicoccoides
Lineage: Eukaryota; Viridiplantae; Streptophyta; Magnoliopsida; Poales; Poaceae
Exons: 2
Source: RefSeq, a predicted model, not a curated record